Melanotaenia boesemani (Boeseman's rainbowfish) is the source of this 325-nucleotide long non-coding RNA. RefSeq lists it as uncharacterized. The record is from RefSeq and is a predicted model, not a curated record. The transcript has 3 exons. NCBI's taxonomy places the organism in Eukaryota, Metazoa, Chordata, Actinopteri, Atheriniformes, Melanotaeniidae.
UGACAGUUUCACGAUGUCUCGAAAGCUGUCCUUCUCAACUAUAUACACGGGAGCCAUGCCUUUACAGAUGCAACGCGAGAUGGCACAUGUGAUUUGUUUAUGGCGCUGGGACGCCUUCUCAUAUGGCGUACCUUGUGCGAAAGACUGCUUUAUCUUCGGCUGGCUAUAGUUUUUCUUUUCGCAACUUGCCCCCGCUGUUCCACUUGGUUUAGCUCGGAUUUUUUGGAUUGUCAUGUAUUCUUUUUCGUGGACCUUCUUAAGGUGAUAGAAGAGGUUUGUUGUGUUGGCAUCGGGCGCAGGAAUAGUCUUUUGGCAUAGUUUGCAU